AGGACGAACGCUGGCGGCGUGCUUAACACAUGCAAGUCGGGCGGAAAGGCCCUUCGGGGUACUCGAGCGGCGAACGGGUGAGUAACACGUGAGUAAUCUGCCCCUAGCUCUGGGAUAGCUCCGGGAAACCGGGAUUAAUACCAGAUACGACCACUUUAGACAUCUGUUGUGGUGGAAAGAAUUUUGGCUAGGGAUGAGCUCGCGGCCUAUCAGCUUGUUGGUGAGGUAACGGCUCAACAAGGCGACGACGGGUAGCCGGCCUGAGAGGGCGACCGGCCACACUGGGACUGAGACACGGCCCAGACUCCUACGGGAGGCAGCAGUGGGGAAUAUUGCGCAAUGGGCGAAAGCCUGACGCAGCGACGCCGCGUGGGGGAUGAAGGCCUUCGGUUGUAAACCCCUUUCAGCAGGGACGAAGCGAAAGUGACGGUACCUGCAGAAGAAGCGCCGGCUAACUACGCGCCAGCAGCCGC
This 473-nucleotide ribosomal RNA is filed under the name uncultured bacterium. RNAcentral describes it as "SSU rRNA". It matches the Rfam family "Bacterial small subunit ribosomal RNA", at positions 26 to 518 of the family's 1533-position model. The record is from RNAcentral.